GCCCCCGUUCACCUCCGAGCCCAGCGGGAACAGCACCGCCACCGCCGCCUCCGCCGCCCGGAGCCAACAACCGCCCAGCUGCCCAGCCGCUUCCCACCGUCGCCGAGGGCCACGCCCAUUGGCCAGCCGUGGGGCCCUGAUGGAAGUCCAUUGGACCACAGCGCUGCCGUUUCCUCGGGUCCGCCUCCUCAUCCUCCAUUGGCUCACAGCUCAGGGGGCAGGUUCCGAGGGUCAUUUCUCCGCUCCCCACACACACACCUCUGGAAGCGGUGGCAUCUACAUUGAUUGCUAGGAUGAUGCAGGGCAAACGUGCAGAUGAGCCUACGAUGACGGGAACUGCGGGCUCACUGCUGGCUCUGCGACUGCUGCGGGUGCCCGUGUUUCUGUUUUGUUUGGGGCUUUGGUUGUUUUGAACUAGCAAACUGUUUCUGAACGCGAUGGCAUCGUUUAAAGUUCCCAUUGGGAGUGGAAGAAAGUUCCAGAUGCCCCCCCCCCACGUGUUCCCAGGGUGAUAUAAAUACAUCCUGAAGAAAUAAACAAGAGAAUGGCAGUCGUGUCUCCUGGAAACAACUCACAGUCCUCGAUGUGAAAGUGACUCAGAGGCUCCUCUGGAGUUUACUGGGGGAGGAAAGGACAACUCAAGAGGAGGACAAACAGCGCGGAAAUGCUGAGUUACCUCAGCUUCUGCCUCCUGCCUCCACCUUGGCUUAAAAUUUUGGGUUUGUUAAAAAUUAAAGAUUUUGGCUCGG
Mus musculus (house mouse) is the source of this 749-nucleotide long non-coding RNA. RefSeq annotates it as predicted gene, 42020. The transcript has 2 exons. NCBI's taxonomy places the organism in Eukaryota, Metazoa, Chordata, Mammalia, Rodentia, Muridae. The record is from RefSeq and is marked validated.